RNAcentral lists this ribosomal RNA (407 nucleotides) under uncultured Eubacteriales bacterium. RNAcentral's name for it is "bacterial SSU rRNA". It matches the Rfam family "Bacterial small subunit ribosomal RNA", at positions 374 to 774 of the family's 1533-position model. The record is from RNAcentral. Lineage: Bacteria; Bacillati; Bacillota; Clostridia; Eubacteriales.
GGGGAAACCCUGACCGAGCAACGCCGCGUGAGUGACGAAGGCCUUCGGGUUGUAAAGCUCUGUUGUAAGGGAAGAACGGUACAUAGAGGGAAUGCUAUGUAAGUGACGGUACCUUACCAGAAAGCCACGGCUAACUACGUGCCAGCAGCCGCGGUAAUACGUAGGGGGCGAGCGUUGUCCGGAUUUACUGGGCGUAAAAGGUGCGUAGGCGGCCUUGUAAGUCAGAUGUGAAAGGCUACGGCUCAACCGUAGUAAGCAUUUGAAACUGCAGGGCUUGAGUGCAGGAGAGGAGAGUGGAAUUCCUAGUGUAGCGGUGAAAUGCGUAGAUAUUAGGAGGAACACCAGUGGCGAAGGCGACUCUCUGGACUGUAACUGACGCUGAGGCACGAAAGCGUGGGGAGCAAACA